RNAcentral lists this ribosomal RNA (450 nucleotides) under uncultured bacterium. RNAcentral's name for it is "bacterial SSU rRNA". It matches the Rfam family "Bacterial small subunit ribosomal RNA", at positions 354 to 796 of the family's 1533-position model. The record is from RNAcentral.
GUGGGGAAUAUUGGACAAUGGGCGAAAGCCUGAUCCAGCCAUGCCGCGUGUGUGAAGAAGGUCUUCGGAUUGUAAAGCACUUUAAGUUGGGAGGAAGGGCAGUAAGUUAAUACCUUGCUGUUUUGAUGUUACCGACAGAAUAAGCACCGGCUAACUUCGUGCCAGCAGCCGCGGUAAUACGAAGGGUGCAAGCGUUAAUCGGAAUUACUGGGCGUAAAGCGCGCGUAGGUGGUUUUGUAAGUUGGAGGUGAAAUCCCCGGGCUCAACCUGGGAACUGCCUCCAAAACUGCAUGACUAGAGUACGGUAGAGGGUAGUGGAAUUUCCUGUGUAGCGGUGAAAUGCGUAGAUAUAGGAAGGAACACCAGUGGCGAAGGCGACUACCUGGACUGAUACUGACACUGAGGUGCGAAAGCGUGGGGAGCAAACAGGAUUAGAAACCCCUGUAGUCC